This 38-nucleotide ribosomal RNA is filed under the name Pilobolus kleinii. RNAcentral's name for it is "partial 28S ribosomal RNA". Lineage: Eukaryota; Fungi; Mucoromycota; Mucoromycetes; Mucorales; Pilobolaceae. The record is from RNAcentral.
UCUAAAAUCAAGGGGAAUUACCCGCGAAACUAAAGCAU